AUUGAACGCUGGCGGAAUGCUUUACACAUGCAAGUCGAACGGCAGCACGGACUCCGGUCUGGUGGCGAGUGGCGAACGGGUGAGUAAUACAUCGGAACGUGCCCAGUCGUGGGGGAUCACGUAGCGAAAGCUACGCUAAUACCGCAUACGAUCUAAGGAUGAAAGCGGGGGAUCACAAGACCUCGCGCGAUUGGAGCGGCCGAUGGCAGAUUAGGUAGUUGGUGGGGUAAAGGCUCACCAAGCCGACGAUCUGUAGCUGGUCUGAGAGGACGACCAGCCACACUGGGACCGAGACACGGCCCAGACUCCUACGGGAGGCAGCAGUGGGGAAUUUUGGACAAUGGGCGCAAGCCUGAUCCAGCCAUUCCGCGUGCAGGAUGAAGGCCCUCGGGUUGUAAACUGCUUUUGUACGGAACGAAAAGGCUCUGGUUAAUACCCGGGGCUCAUGACGGUACCGUAAGAAUAAGCACCGGCUAACUACGUGCCAGCCGCCGCCGUAA
This 500-nucleotide ribosomal RNA is filed under the name uncultured bacterium. RNAcentral's name for it is "partial 16S ribosomal RNA". It matches the Rfam family "Bacterial small subunit ribosomal RNA", at positions 30 to 523 of the family's 1533-position model. The record is from RNAcentral.